GUGUUAAAAGCAUAGUGGGAAAGUGACGUGUAAUUCGUCCACAUUACUUGAUGCGGUUAUAGUCCGAAUGCCACCUAACAC
This 81-nucleotide non-coding RNA is filed under the name unclassified sequences. The record is from Rfam.